CAUCGUCAUCGAUUUUGAUUCAAUCUCAAUUUCGUAUUCUCUCUCUCUCUCUCUCUCUCUCUCUCUCUCUCUCAAGCUCUUCAUUCCGUCGAUUCUUCUCCUCCGAGGGUUUACAAUCUUGAAUCUCCUCCUAGGGUUUACCCCUUGCUAUUUCAAGCGGUAAAUUCUCUCUCUGAUCUAGAAGUUUUUCUGUUUUACGGAACAUCUUGAAUCCCAAUGUCAUAUAUUCUGCAUUGUUUGGUUAAUUGCUAUGCCUCUUAGUUUAGUUUAGUUGGACAAUGUUCUUAUGAUGAUUUAAUGUGAUGUACUUUUUUGUUGUCUCUUGCUUCGGAUGUUGUUGAGCUAUGGAUGAUCACAAAGUGAUCAAAACUUUUGAUCGCUUGAAGAGAUUGAGAACAUUUUGCAACUUUGGCCAUGUUAAUUUUCCAUGUAAACUAAUUUUUAUUUUCUCUAGGCUAUGUUUGGAUCUUGUAUUUGUGGAGAGAAAAGUGAAUGAAGUAAGAGCUAAAUUAUUUAGGCAUCCACAUAAAGUGGGGGGUGCUUACCAUUUAUGCCUAGCACUCUAUCGAGGAUACUAAUUCAUGUGCUCAAUUGGUUUGGCUUCUACUCUAACCCCUUGAAUGGGUAUGAGGGUAAUUUGGAUCUAAUAUACAAUACUUGCUCUAAAUCUCUGCUCCAAUUAGGUUAUAAUGCACUUAUGCUUUUCCAUAUUGAUGAAGUAAAAACCACAAUUUGAAUUGGGAAUGAAGGUAAACUAUGUAGAUAAGGAAAUAUCUUGGGUUAGAGCUUCUUAGCAAUUAUGUUAGGUUUCUCUUGAACUCAUAAAAUGGCUAAAAUUUUAGUUUUAUUUGUUUAACAUCAGGGCUUAUGAUGAAAGGUAUCGUGUAAUGGUUAAGUAAUCAAGUUGUAUAUAGAAAAUGUGAAGUUCAGUAUAAUUUUUACUUUUGCGCAAUUUAAUGUUAUCUACUAAGUUUUUGUUGCAUGAUAAUCAUUAACCAGUCUUUACCUUUUGAUGAUUAAUUUUUGCAUGCUCUAGGGCCUUUACAAGCUAUCUGUCUCCACAGACCAGACGCCUACUAUAAGCCUUAUAAAUUUCCAAGUAAACCUGUACUUUAGUUAGGCUUAGAUGGGUUGCCCUUUUUUGUUUUGUUUCAUUUUCUUUUAAUGGAGUGCAUUUACUCUCUCUCUCUCUCUCUCUCCCUCUCAUCUUUAGAGUGGUUGCUCUUUUCUGUUUUGUUUCAUUGUCUUUUAAUGGAGUGCAUUUCCUCUCUAUCUCUCUCUCUCUCUCUCUCUCACAGUUUACUUGCUCAUUGCACUAACAUCACUUUGUACUCAUCCUUAUAAGUGCUAUAAUAAGAACUGCGCUGUUUGUUACAAAUCCUGUCCUUUUCGAUAGGGAAUGGUGGACAGGCUGAUUAGUCGAAUCGAAAAAUCUGUGAGAAACACUGUUGGGUGUCAAAUAUGAAUGCAUGAGGUGACAUGGGAGUGGCCUAGGUAGAUUUUGGUUGAGUGCUAAGAUAUUCAUCAAAAAAAAAAAAACUUCAUUGAUUUAAUAUGAUGUUUAGCAAAGCAUAUACAUAAGUUAUUUGUUUAUCAGAGUUCUCCUUACUGUUAUAUUGUUAGCUGCUCUUAUUCCAUCGUAGCAAGGUUUUGAAGCAUAUUUAAGGUUGCUAUGCAAAUAUUUCAAGUGCCACCCCCUUUGGUUGUUUGAAAAUAAGGUUCAUUUAUCGAUCUUGUAUUAAGUUGUCAAGUAGGUUACUUAAAGUGAUGAUCUUACUAAUUUUAUAAUUCGAUCGGAUAGAUAGAUCUUGAACUUAGUAUUACAUUGUUAUUGGCACUUUAUGAAGUGGCUUUUUGUAUUCUCUAUUGCUUAGCACUCUCUCUUUGUUAAUCAUUCUUCGAACGUGGUUUACAGUGUGCUAGUCAUUUGUUAACACACAAUCAUAUCUGAGAGGCAAAAUCCUCCCCUGGCUACUUUUGGUUUGUCCAUGGUAAUACCAUGCAAAUUACUGUAAUUGGUCCAUCAUUUUCUCAGUGCCGUAGAAUCUUGCUGAGUUCUUUAAUUGUUUCGGUCAUAUGAUUAAUUAUAUUGUGCUAUAGCUAUAUUUAUGUCAUCUGUUGCUUAUGGAAAUGAAGUUUUUCACUUCUUUGUCUUAGGGUUCCUUGAUUUAUCUUCCAUGGUCCUUGAUAUUAAUUGAUUGCUAGUUGCAGAAUUAUCUAAAACAACAAUUAUCUAAAACCUUGUCAUCGAGCAGUUCGUAGUCUAGAGCGGAUCUACUGACACUUGGUUUGGCAGUAACGAAUAUUCUAACUGGUUUGGUAUGGCUGUCAAUCCGACCAAAAACUACAUUAGUGGUAAAUCCUGAAGGCGUGGAGUGUUAAAGGAUAAAUCUCAUCUUCCUGAUUUUUUAGUUUCUGAGUUACUAUGGGCUGAUGGCCCUAAAUUUUUGUGAUGUCAUGCGACAAUGGAUUUUUCCUUAAGGCUAUGAAGAUAAACAUGUAGAUGUGCAGGUUGUUGAGUUUGCCCUGGCUUUGCAGGAAUCUGGAUGCUUUUAUGUUCUUCUGGAAUGUGUGCCUGCAUCUGUUGCUGCUGUUACAACAUUUGCUCUUCGAAUCCCUACAAUUGGUAUUGGGACAAGGCCUUUUUGUAUUGGCCAAGUUAAUUGAUUCUUUAGCUCUCUCUACUACUCCUAAUAAUGAAUUAGACUUGACUGGCUUGUGUUGUGUAUAAUUUUUUGCUUUCAUUUGUACAUAUAAUUUGCUAUCUAAUCUUGUAAUUUGCUUUUCAAGUACUAAAGUGGGCAUCUUAAUGAUAUUACGUGUUCAUAUA
This is a non-coding RNA of Camellia sinensis, 2830 nucleotides long. The record is from RefSeq and is a predicted model, not a curated record. NCBI's taxonomy places the organism in Eukaryota, Viridiplantae, Streptophyta, Magnoliopsida, Ericales, Theaceae.